Molecule: ribosomal RNA, 482 nt
Filed under: uncultured bacterium
Lineage: Bacteria
Description: partial 16S ribosomal RNA
Rfam family: Bacterial small subunit ribosomal RNA
Source: RNAcentral
GACGAACGCUGGCGGCGUGCUUAACACAUGCAAGUCGAACGAUGAAACCUAGCUUGCUAGGUCGAUUAGUGGCGAACGGGUGAGUAACACGUGACUAACCUGCCCCUUUCUCUGGGAUAACGCUCCGAAAGGAGUGCUAAUACCGGAUACUCACAUCGAGGCACAUGCCUUGGUGUGGAAAGUUUUUCGGAAAGGGAUGGAGUCGCGGCCUAUCAGCUUGUUGGUGAGGUAACGGCUCACCAAGGCGACGACGGGUAGCCGGCCUGAGAGGGCGACCGGCCACACUGGGACUGAGACGCGGCCCAGACUCCUACGGGAGGCAGCAGUGGGGAAUAUUGCACAAUGGGCGCAAGCCUGAUGCAGCGACGCCGCGUGAGGGAUGAAGGUCUUCGGAUUGUAAACCUCUUUCAGUAGGGACGAAGCGAAAGUGACGGUACCUAAAGAAGAAGCACCGGCUAACUACGUGCCAGCCGCCGCAGUAA